AUUCCAGCUCCAAGAGCGUAUAUUAAAGUUGUUGCAGUUAAAAAGCUCGUAGUUGGAUUUCUGGUAUAAUGCGCCUGGCCCGCUCCGUUUCGGAGUGAGUGCCGGUGCGCGUUUGCCAUCCUUCUAGAAAAUGUUUCUACCCUUCGCUGGGCCGGAUUCACGAUCUAGAUCUUUUACUUUGAAAAAAUUAGAGUGUUUAAAGCAGGCUUUUGCUAUGAAUACAUUAGCAUGGAAUAAUAAUCUAGGACUUCGGUUCUAUUUUGUUGGUUUCUAGUACUGAAGUAAUGAUUGAUAGGGAUAGUUGGGGGUGCUAGUAUUGGGCGGCCAGAGGUGAAAUUCUUGGAUUCGCUCAAGACUAACUUAUGCGAAAGCAUUCACCAAGGAUGUCUUCAUCA
This 395-nucleotide ribosomal RNA is filed under the name Protaspa sp. RNAcentral describes it as "partial small subunit ribosomal RNA". It matches the Rfam family "Eukaryotic small subunit ribosomal RNA", at positions 582 to 975 of the family's 1831-position model. Lineage: Eukaryota; Cercozoa; Thecofilosea; Cryomonadida; Protaspidae. The record is from RNAcentral.